GGUUCUAAAGCUGCCACGUACUCUGCUACUCCAAGCCUUUGAUUUAAUUCAAUUUUGGUGGAUCCAACGGCCAUUUCCCUCAUCUCUUUAAAAUGUAAAAGCAUCAUUUUAAGCACUACAGGCCGUCGAUUUCGAGCGAGCUUACAAGUGUUAAGGCCAAAAAAUUUUGAACUGGACAUCAGCCAUGGGAAGUUUGGGCAAUUUUAUUUUGGGGAAUGUUGGGAAAG
This 227-nucleotide long non-coding RNA is filed under the name Citrus sinensis (sweet orange). RNAcentral describes it as "long non-coding RNA (CSIN_LNC005420)". The record is from RNAcentral. Lineage: Eukaryota; Viridiplantae; Streptophyta; Magnoliopsida; Sapindales; Rutaceae.